RNAcentral lists this long non-coding RNA (2199 nucleotides) under Hordeum vulgare. RNAcentral describes it as "long non-coding RNA (HVUL_LNC015894)". Lineage: Eukaryota; Viridiplantae; Streptophyta; Magnoliopsida; Poales; Poaceae. The record is from RNAcentral.
ACCGACAAGAGACAUGACAAUAGAAUGCAUUAAGGCCUUCCCAUAUAUGCAAGUGUGGCUGCACUGGUUAGCUCGACUCGAUGGCACUAUGACUCAGCCAACACGUGUUCAAGUUCGAUAGAAGUCUAGUUUAACUUGCAUGAUGAUGAGUGGAGUCGUAAUAAUAAAAAGUAUGAUGAAAUGAUAAUGCAUAAGACCAGGAUAUCAACAUGAACAGGGAUGAGCAACAUAACUAUUUAACAUAUCAACGACAAUAAAUCAUUCUCUAGAUGCAAAUGAGUAUGGCAUACUUAUGGUCAUGAAUAUUACAAGUGUAAUGUAUAUAAUAAAAUUUAAGAUGGACCUAGCAUGAUCACUAGCACCAGAAAAUAAUUACCAUAAAAGUAAUUACUCAACCAACUAGUUGCAAUUGAUCAUGGCGUAAAGAUAAGCAGGGAUUCGCAAGAAUGUAUAUAGCAUUCCAAAAAUAUUAACAUGCCCAAAGUAUAUAAAUAGUCAAUUAUAAAACCAUGGCUACUCUAAGGCCAACAUGGAGGUGGCUGUCAUGGCUUGCCUGGCGUGAAGGGUUCUCCGGGAGUAAGUGCAAUGAAGCUCGUGGAAAGAUUCUCCGGAACGUUUAUUUCUUAGAGGGGGCUCAUUAGGGGCAAAGGCAAAAUGGUCAUUUUCACAGUGUAUCACAUCAUGAAAAUGGUACAACAGAAUGGGCUCGACAAACAGAUCAUGUGGGCUUUGGAAUCACCUGAUUCGGAGUUACGGUCGGUUAUGGAUAGUUGAAAGUUAGGGACUUAUUUGUAAAACAAAUAUGUACAAACCAGCCCCUGACUAAGUAGAUAGUAAACGUCUUCCGUGAAAAUACGCCUUGUGCAAAAGAACAUGUAUUCCAGCUAUAGAAGAACCAGAGUACGCUUUCUAACUUGGAAAGCAUAUUCUAGAUAAUACGUUUCAACUAAAGUUGCGGGGCCGACCAUCGGUUUCACUUAUAGGCGGGCCCCGUGUUGAUUCUCUAUGUUCUGUCGCCCACCUUCUUCCACCUCGCGACCACGGGAAUAGAGGAGGGUCCGAGUGCAUGUCGGCGCCCGUCCCGGCUCCAGCGGCCACCUCCGGCGACGCUCGAGCUACUGGCCGGACCGGGGGGCUUCCGACAGCUUGGUCCACGCUCAUAGGAUAACUCGGGGCUGAGUGGGUCGUUGACCAUGGCGGCUGAUGGCGUCGGCCAUCAUGGGGAACACUCGGCUCGGCCACCGGGAAGGAGCUAGGGUGGUGUGGAUUUUUGAGGAGGCCAGGGGAUCGCUGUGGUGAGGUUCCGAGGGUGAAUGGGGCUCCGAUGAGCUUGAAUUUACGUGGACCGAGGCGGAGCUCAUGGCGGGAGUGAGAGGUCUGGAGGAGCUCCGGGAGCGAAUUGAGAGGCCGGGGAGGCGUCUAGGAGCAUGUAGGAGAGCUUGGUGAGGUUGAGAAGCCUCGGGGAGGGCUAUAUAUAGCCGGACCUCAAGAUGGGGCGAGAACGACCACGAUGACGCGUGUGCCGGCGCUCUGGCAUGAAUCAACGAUGCGAAGGGGAGGGGCGGUGUUUCCAGAGGCUACACGAGGAGGAGAGAAGACCCAAGCAUGCUUGAAAAGGCUCGGGGCGAUGCGGGCGAUGCGGGCGAUCGGCCGACUGCGGAGCAGCCCGCGUCUGCCCCUCUACACGGCCUCCGCCCUGCGUACGAGAUGACCUGAGAGGGGGAGAGAGAUUCAGGGUGAUGGCCAUGGUACAGUGGAGCUACUAGACAUGGCGAGAUACCGAUAGCUUGAGGGAACGUACGAGAACAUUGGGAACAUACGAGAACAGUGGUCACAAUUGCGAGAGCGCGUGGACGGACAUGCCAAAGAUAUAGUCACCGCGUGAACGUGACAGUAACUCGUGCUCUGAGCAGCCAAAGGCGAUUGUUCAUUCACAACUGAGUGUGAAAGUGCAAAUGAAUAAGAAUAGUAACCAUAGAUAUGACCAUAGCUUGCUCUAAGACAACAGAACAACAAAGUGUGUGUUGUGGAGUGAACAAUACAAAUGUGGAGAGAGACUCUGAUCUUUGGCUUAGAGUGAUCAAACGGAUGAAGUGAACUAGCACUUGUUGCACAAAGUGUCAAACUGGACAGAACUUAAUAUGUUCAAGUAGCCCUCACUUAGAUCGUUGGACUGCGUUGAAUUUUGAUGAAGGAUAG